AAAAGUGUUGUGAUGUUGAAUCGAUCCAACUUAUGAACUUAGGCUAUUUAGGAUAUUGAUGGAUGAAUGAGUAAUUUUCUCUUCGAAGUUGAAGAUAUACAUGAUUUCUUUUAUUCUAAUGGUGUAUAUCAUCCUGAUUAGAUUAUCCUCUUGUGUAUGAGUCUCAUUCUUCUUACUCAAGAGUGUAGUCUCUGAGGCUGUCUUGAG
This 207-nucleotide unclassified non-coding RNA is filed under the name Hevea brasiliensis (rubber tree). The record is from RNAcentral. Lineage: Eukaryota; Viridiplantae; Streptophyta; Magnoliopsida; Malpighiales; Euphorbiaceae.